CAAGCUAUAAGGCACACAGAGUGUUACGUAUUUAUAGAGGAAAAUCCAUGAUGUUGCGUGAACAAUGAAUCAUUUGCGUAGUACAAAAAACCAUGCCCCCAAGUUGCCAACUCAGCAUUAUGAAGCGCGUUUGAAUUACCACUCUGCCUCACUUACGUUACAUAUCAAAUAUAUAAAUGUUCCCACACUAACGCUCCUUUUUCACGUGGCCAUCCAAAGUGCUACUUCUUUUAGGGUGUAAGCACUUUCUGAUGAGUUACAGCCGUUUCUCCAACCCACAUUUCUCAUUAGUAUCGGCGUGUGGGUCUGGUGGCGGCAAUUUGAUCAUGUCUGGUGGCGGCAAUUUGAUCAUGCUUUUCCCAGAUAUUUUGAUAGCCAGCCAAGUUUGACGACAUGGUGGCCUUCCGGUCCGUGUGAUAUAUACGAGUUUCAAAGAUUGGCAGGCAAUUCAAUUAACUGCAUGCUUUCGAAGCUGACAUAAUGAGGAAAUUGGGUACCAGCUGGAAGUCACGCAAGGAGCCUUCUUGGGGGAAUUCAGAUCGUAUUGGCUCACCAUUGCAAUUUGCUAUUAAGGCAAAAUGAUGAACAUCUAUCCUUAUCCUGAUGUCACUGACAGCUCCAUGCAAAGCUCCCUUCUAUUAUUGUCCUUGUCCCUCAAUCAUUACAAAUUAAGCCAUCCAGCUGAGGCCCAAACGCCACCGUUUCAUGCAUGCAUGCAUUGUACAAUUGAAGGAGAAUUAGGCACAGACGCACAGCAUCCUUAUAUUAAAAUAAGAAGAAAAAGAAUGUACACCAUCAACCCCCAACUUUAUGGAAUUUUCUUUUUUUCUGAAAAAUGUAUGCAAGUCCACGGUUCUUAUUUACCGGUUGACCCAAAUAAUUCCAUUCUUGAAUGGUUGAUUAUGAUAAAUGAUAGCUUUCUUUUUUUUCUCAAAA
Molecule: long non-coding RNA, 936 nt
Organism: Mangifera indica (mango)
Lineage: Eukaryota; Viridiplantae; Streptophyta; Magnoliopsida; Sapindales; Anacardiaceae
Exons: 4
Source: RefSeq, a predicted model, not a curated record